UACGGAGGGUGCAAGCGUUAUCCGGAUUCACUGGGUUUAAAGGGUGCGUAGGCGGGCAGGUAAGUCCGUGGUGAAAUCUCUGAGCUUAACUCAGAAACUGCCAUGGAUACUAUUUGUCUUGAAUGCGGUGGAGGUGAGCGGAAUAUGUCAUGUAGCGGUGAAAUGCUUAGAUAUGACAUAGAACACCGAUUGCGAAGGCAGCUCGCUACACCUGCAUUGACUCUGAGGCACGAAAGCGUGGGGAUCAAACAGG
This 253-nucleotide ribosomal RNA is filed under the name uncultured bacterium. RNAcentral describes it as "partial 16S ribosomal RNA". It matches the Rfam family "Bacterial small subunit ribosomal RNA", at positions 524 to 776 of the family's 1533-position model. The record is from RNAcentral.